This 251-nucleotide ribosomal RNA is filed under the name uncultured prokaryote. RNAcentral describes it as "partial 16S rRNA". It matches the Rfam family "Bacterial small subunit ribosomal RNA", at positions 525 to 775 of the family's 1533-position model. The record is from RNAcentral.
ACGGAGGGUGCAAGCGUUAAUCGGAAUUACUGGGCGUAAAGCGCACGUAGGCUGUAGUGUCACUAAGGAGAGAAAGAAAACGGCUCAACCGUGGAACUGCCUUUGAUACUGCACAACUUGAAUCCGGGAGAGGGUGGCGGAAUUCCAGGUGUAGGAGUGAAAUGCGUAGAGAUCUGGAGGAACAGCAGUGGCGAAGGCGGCCUCCUGGACCGUUAUUGACGCUGAGGUGCGAAAGCGUGGGGAGCAAACAG